RNAcentral lists this non-coding RNA (28 nucleotides) under Cricetulus griseus (Chinese hamster). Lineage: Eukaryota; Metazoa; Chordata; Mammalia; Rodentia; Cricetidae. The record is from RNAcentral. RNAcentral also lists the same sequence under 1 other name.
AUGGAUAGCGCAUUGGACUUCUAGUGAC